This 995-nucleotide long non-coding RNA is filed under the name Apteryx haastii (Great spotted kiwi). Its description in RNAcentral is "lncRNA (ENSAHAG00000005967.1)". Lineage: Eukaryota; Metazoa; Chordata; Aves; Apterygiformes; Apterygidae. The record is from RNAcentral.
CUACAGGCAGUGCCAUGUCAGGGAUGUGGUUGGGGACACGGCAGGGCCACGGUUGGGGACACGGCAGGGCCACGGUUGGGAACAGGGCAGGGCCACGUCGGUGCUGUGUCAGUGCCAUGUCAGGGACAUGGUUGGGGACACGGCAGGGCCACGUCAGUGCUGUGUCAGUGCCACAGGCAGUGCCGUGUUGGGGACACGGUUGGGGACACGGCAGUGCCAUGGUUGGGGACACGGCAGGGCCACGUCGGUGCUGUGUCAGUGCCAUGUCAGGGACAUGGUUGGGGACACGGCAGUGCCACGGUUGGGGACACGGCAGGGCCACAUCAGUGCUGUGUCAGUGCCAUGGGCAGUGCCAUGGUUGGGGACAUGGUUGGGGACACGGUCAGGGACAUGGCAGUGCCAUGUCGGUGCCACAGUCAGGGAUGUGACAGUGUCAUAUCAGUGCCAUGGUUGGGGACACAGCAGUGCUGUGUCAGUGCCAUGGUCAGUGCCAUGUCGGUGCCACGGUUGGGGACACAGUUGGGGACACAGCAGUGCCAUGUCAGUGCCAUGGUCAGUGCCAUGUUGGUGCCACGGUUGGGGACACGGCAGUGCCAUGUCAGUGCCAUGGUCAGUGCUGUGUCGGUGCCGCGGUUGGGGACAUGGCAGAGCCCUGUCGGUGCCACAGCUGGUGCCACGUGGGUGCCACCGCAGGCUAUGCGGGUGCCACCACAGCCCCCCGCGGGUGCCGUGCCAGCGCCACGGCAGUGCCACCCAGCCCAGCCGUGGGGACCGCGGGGGCCCGUGGUGCGCGGGGACACCCACCGCCACGGCCCUGGUGGCUUCUCUGACGGCUGCUACGUGGCUGCGCUCGCCGGCGGCGAGGAAGCGCGACCGCUCGCCGUCUCGCCGGCACCGCGGGGCCUUCGGCCUCGGCCCGGCACCGCCACGACGCCCGGAGCCGGCAGGGUGGGCAGGAGCGGGCAGGAGCAGGCGCUGCUGCCGCCGUGGCCCCG